UACAGGGGGGGCAAGCGUUGUUCGGAAUUACUGGGCGUAAAGGGUUUGUAGGUGGCUUGCUUAGUCAGACGUGAAAUCCCUCGGCUUAACCGAGGAACUGCCAUCCAGACUGCUUGGCUUGAGACCGGGGAGAGGUGAGUGGAAUUCCCAGUGUAGCGGUGAAAUGCGUAGAUAGUUGGGAGGAACACCAGUGGCGAAGGCGGACUCACUGGACCGGUACUGACGCUGAGGU
RNAcentral lists this ribosomal RNA (232 nucleotides) under uncultured bacterium. RNAcentral describes it as "partial 16S ribosomal RNA". It matches the Rfam family "Bacterial small subunit ribosomal RNA", at positions 524 to 752 of the family's 1533-position model. The record is from RNAcentral.